AGAGUUUGAUCCUGGCUCAGAUUGAACGCUGGCGGCAUGCUUUACACAUGCAAGUCGAACGGUAACGCGGGGGCAACCCUGGCGACGAGUGGCGAACGGGUGAGUAAUACAUCGGAACGUGCCCAGUAGUGGGGGAUAGCUCGGCGAAAGCCGGAUUAAUACCGCAUACGACCUACGGGUGAAAGCGGGGGAUCGCAAGACCUCGCGCUAUUGGAGCGGCCGAUGGCAGAUUAGCUUGUUGGUGGGGUAAAAGCCUACCAAGGCGACGAUCUGUAGCUGGUCUGAGAGGACGACCAGCCACACUGGGACUGAGACACGGCCCAGACUCCUACGGGAGGCAGCAGUGGGGAAUUUUGGACAAUGGGCGCAAGCCUGAUCCAGCAAUGCCGCGUGUGUGAUGAAGGCCUUCGGGUUGUAAAGCACUUUUAGUGGGAACGAAACGGUCCGGGCUAAUACCCUGGACUACUGACGGUACCCGCAGAAUAAGCACCGGCUAACUACGUGCCAGCAGCCGCGGUAAUACGUAGGGUGCAAGCGUUAAUCGGAAUUACUGGGCGUAAAGCGUGCGCAGGCGGUUUUGUAAGACCGAUGUGAAAUCCCCGGGCUCAACCUGGGAACUGCAUUGGUGACUGCAAGGCUUGAGUGUGUCAGAGGGAGGUGGAAUUCCGCGUAGCAGUGAAAUGCGUAGAUAUGCGGAGGAACACCGAUGGCGAAGGCAGCCUCCUGGGAUAACACUGACGCUCAUGCACGAAAGCGUGGGGAGCAAACAGGAUUAGAUACCCUUGUAGUCC
Molecule: ribosomal RNA, 791 nt
Filed under: uncultured bacterium
Lineage: Bacteria
Description: bacterial SSU rRNA
Rfam family: Bacterial small subunit ribosomal RNA
Source: RNAcentral